This 313-nucleotide ribosomal RNA is filed under the name uncultured delta proteobacterium. RNAcentral describes it as "bacterial SSU rRNA". It matches the Rfam family "Bacterial small subunit ribosomal RNA", at positions 536 to 847 of the family's 1533-position model. Lineage: Bacteria; Deltaproteobacteria. The record is from RNAcentral.
AAGCGUUGUUCGGAUUUAUUGGGCGUAAAGCGCGUGUAGGCGGCUCCUUAAGUCUGAUGUGAAAGCCCUGGGCUCAACCCGGGAAGUGCAUUGGAAACUGGGGAACUUGAAUACGGGAGAGGGUAGUGGAAUUCCUGGUGUAGGAGUGAAAUCCGUAGAUAUCAGGAGGAACACCGGUGGCGAAGGCGGCUACCUGGACCGAUAUUGACGCUGAGACGCGAAAGCGUGGGUAGCAAACAGGAUUAGAUACCCUGGUAGUCCACGCCGUAAACGAUGAGUACUAGGUGUUGCGGGUAUUGACCCCUGCAGUGCC